Molecule: small nucleolar RNA, 107 nt
Filed under: Citrus sinensis (sweet orange)
Lineage: Eukaryota; Viridiplantae; Streptophyta; Magnoliopsida; Sapindales; Rutaceae
Description: Plant small nucleolar RNA R71
Rfam family: Plant small nucleolar RNA R71
About the family: R71 is a member of the C/D box family of snoRNAs containing the C (UGAUGA) and D (CUGA) box motifs.
Source: Rfam by way of RNAcentral
AUACCAUGACGAGGACAUUUUCUAAGUAACUCUUUAAAUCUUUCUAAUGCAUCAUGUAAGCUUUCAUUUUCAAGUUGAUGGAAGGAUGUGAUUUCAUUCCUCAAUUU